AGCAGCCGCGGUAAUUCCAGCUCCAAUAGCGUAUAUUAAAGUUGUUGCAGUUAAAAAGCUCGUAGUUGAAUUUCGGGAUCAAUAUAUUGGUCAUGCUUAGGUAUGUACUGGUAUUAUUGAUUUCUCCCUUCUGAAGAACCAUGAUGUCAUUAGUUUGAUGUCGUGGGGAAUCAGGACUGUUACUUUGAAAAAAUUAGAGUGUUUAAAGCAGGCUUUCGCUUGAAUACAUUAGCAUGGAAUAAUGAAAUAGGACGUUUGAUUCUAUUUUGUUGGUUUCUAGGAUCGACGUAAUGAUUAAUAGGGAUAGUUGGGGGCAUUAGUAUUCAAUUGUCAGAGGUGAAAUUCUUGGAUUUAUUGAAGACUAACUACUGCGAAAGCAUUUGCCAAGGAUGUUUUCAUUAAUCAAGAACGAAAGUUAGGGGAUCGAAGACGAUCAGAUACCGUCGUAGUCUUAACCAUAAACUAUGCCGACUAGGGAUCGGAUGAUGUUAAUUUUUUAAUGACUCAUUCGGCGCCUUAC
This 520-nucleotide unclassified non-coding RNA is filed under the name uncultured Glomus. Its description in RNAcentral is "SSU rRNA". It matches the Rfam family "Eukaryotic small subunit ribosomal RNA", at positions 569 to 1091 of the family's 1831-position model. Lineage: Eukaryota; Fungi; Glomeromycota; Glomeromycetes; Glomerales; Glomeraceae. RNAcentral also lists the same sequence under 1 other name. The record is from RNAcentral.